AUCUAGCUCCGAUGGGAGUGAUAUCCUUUUUCUGGCUUCUUUAGACAGAAAAAGAUAUAAUGGACAGCGGGACAAGUG
Molecule: small RNA, 78 nt
Filed under: Flavobacterium sp. 81
Lineage: Bacteria; Pseudomonadati; Bacteroidota; Flavobacteriia; Flavobacteriales; Flavobacteriaceae
Also listed under: 1 other name
Description: Flavo-1 RNA
Rfam family: Flavo-1 RNA
Source: RNAcentral